This 546-nucleotide ribosomal RNA is filed under the name uncultured bacterium. RNAcentral's name for it is "bacterial SSU rRNA". It matches the Rfam family "Bacterial small subunit ribosomal RNA", at positions 8 to 526 of the family's 1533-position model. The record is from RNAcentral.
AGAGUUUGAUCCUGGCUCAGAACGAACGCUGGCGGCGUGGAUAAGACAUGCAAGUCGAACGCUGAUUAGGGGGUAGCAAUAUUUCCUAGUCGGAGUGGCGCAAGGGUGCGUAACACGUGGGUAAUCUGCCGUGAAGACUGGGAUAACUCGCUGAAAGGCGAGCUAAUACCGGAUGUGAUUGCUAUUUGGCAUCAGAUGGCAAUGGAAGCUGGGGACCGUAAGGCCUGGCACUUCACGAUGAGCCCGCGGCCUAUCAGCUAGUUGGUGAGGUAACGGCUCACCAAGGCUAAGACGGGUAGCUGGUCUGAGAGGACGACCAGCCACACUGGAACUGAGACACGGUCCAGACACCUACGGGUGGCAGCAGUCGAGAAUUUUUCACAAUGGGGGCAACCCAGAUGGAGCGACGCCGCGUGGAGGAUGAAGGUCUUCGGAUUGUAAACUCCUGUCAUUGGUGAACAAGAUGGGCGGGGUAACUCCUUGCCUGUUUGCUAGUAGCCGAAGAGGAAGGGACGGCUAACUCUGUGCCAGCCGCCGCGGUAAUUC